RNAcentral lists this ribosomal RNA (279 nucleotides) under uncultured bacterium. RNAcentral's name for it is "partial 16S ribosomal RNA". It matches the Rfam family "Bacterial small subunit ribosomal RNA", at positions 506 to 784 of the family's 1533-position model. The record is from RNAcentral.
UGCCAGCCGCCGCGGUAAUACGGAGGGAGCAAACGUUGUUCGGAUUUACUGGGUGUAAAGGGUGCGUAGGCGGCGAAGUGUGUCAGAGGUGAAAGCUCACGGCUCAACCGUGGAAUUGCCUUUGAAACUGCUUCGCUUGAGUCCGAGAGAGGAUGAUGGAAUUCCUGGUGUAACGGUGAAAUGUGCAGAUAUCAGGAAGAACACCAGUGGCGAAGGCGGUCAUCUGGCUCGGUACUGACGCUGAGGCACGAAAGCUAGGGUAUCAAACGGGAUUAGAUA